CAGGAUUGACAGAUUGAGAGCUCUUUCUUGAUUCNGUGGGUGGUGGUGCAUGGCCGUUCUUAGUUGGUGGAAGUGAUUUGUCUGGUUAAUUCCGAUAACGAACGAGACUCUAGCCUGCUAAAUAGU
Molecule: ribosomal RNA, 126 nt
Filed under: uncultured marine eukaryote
Lineage: Eukaryota
Description: partial 18S ribosomal RNA
Rfam family: Eukaryotic small subunit ribosomal RNA
Source: RNAcentral